Molecule: unclassified non-coding RNA, 398 nt
Filed under: Hevea brasiliensis (rubber tree)
Lineage: Eukaryota; Viridiplantae; Streptophyta; Magnoliopsida; Malpighiales; Euphorbiaceae
Source: RNAcentral
UUUAGCAUGAAGAUGCUGCAGAGUUUGGAAAGCAGUCUCAGCCUCAACAAAACGCAAACGUUCUUCUUGUACACAAGUCCACAACGUUCCCAGUUCCUUCUGCUUUUCUGUAAGCUCUUGAUUUUGCACACCCAUCUUCAGUGUCAGAGAUUCCAGCUCAGAAUGAAGAGAUUUAUUGGAUUUUUCUAACAAAAGGCAGCGCUCUUCUGCAUCUUCUAACUUGGCAACUCCGUUAUUGAUCUCUGCAUUCAACCUUUGGGCCUCCUCUUUGGCACAAGAAAGCUUAUGCUCUAGAGUGGAGAUGGUUUCCAAGCAUUGCUGGAGCUGCAGAGCUGCAGCUUCUUUCUCCCCAGUGAAUUUUAGGAUUUCUUGUUUGAGAAAUUCAAUCUCAUUUUCUG